Molecule: ribosomal RNA, 365 nt
Filed under: uncultured bacterium
Lineage: Bacteria
Description: bacterial SSU rRNA
Rfam family: Bacterial small subunit ribosomal RNA
Source: RNAcentral
GACGAACGCUGGCGGCGUGCUUAACACAUGCAAGUCGAGCGGUAAGGCCCUUUCGGGGGUACACGAGCGGCGAACGGGUGAGUAACACGUGGGUGACCUGCCCUCAGCUCUGGGAUAAGCCUGGGAAACCGGGUCUAAUACUGGAUAUGACUCCAUGACGCAUGUUGUGGGGUGGAAAGCCUUGUGCGGCUGAGGAUGGGCCCGNGGCCUAUCAGCUUGUUGUGGGGUGGGGCCUACCAAGGCGACGACGGGUAGCCGGCCUGAGAGGGCGACCGGCCACACUGGGACUGAGACACGGCCCAGACUCCUACGGGAGGCAGCAGUGGGGAAUCUUGCGCAAUGGGCGAAAGCCUGACGCAGCGACG